AGUCAUACAGUCAGCAUGUCAGAAAUCAGCGGACUGAACACGUGGGUUAACGCUAGANUGGGGGAAAUUAACCUUCCGGGAAACCGGGCUAAUACCCGGGGGAUAACAUUUUGGCCACUGCAUGGUGCGAAAUUGAAAGGCGGCUUCGGCUGUCACUUAUGGAUGGACCCGCGUCGCAUUAGCUAGUUGGUGAGGUAACGGCUCACCAAAGGGGGCCAAAACGAUGCGUAGCCGACCUGAGAGGGUGAUCGGCCACACUGGGGACUGAGUACACGGGCCCAGGACUCCUAACGUGGAGGGCCAA
This 304-nucleotide ribosomal RNA is filed under the name uncultured bacterium. Its description in RNAcentral is "bacterial SSU rRNA". It matches the Rfam family "Bacterial small subunit ribosomal RNA", at positions 67 to 348 of the family's 1533-position model. The record is from RNAcentral.